Molecule: ribosomal RNA, 301 nt
Filed under: uncultured bacterium
Lineage: Bacteria
Description: partial 16S ribosomal RNA
Rfam family: Bacterial small subunit ribosomal RNA
Source: RNAcentral
CAGUAGCCACGGGAAUACAGAGGGUGCGAGCGUUAAUCGGAUUUACUGGGCGUAAAGCGUGCGUAGGCGGCUUCUUAAGUCGGAUGUGAAAUCCCUGAGCUUAACUUAGGAAUUGCAUUCGAUACUGGGAAGCUAGAGUAUGGGAGAGGAUGGUAGAAUUCCAGGUGUAGCGGUGAAAUGCGUAGAGAUCUGGAGGAAUACCGAUGGCGAAGGCAGCCAUCUGGCCUAAUACUGACGCUGAGGUACGAAAGCAUGGGGAGCAAACAGGAUUAGAUACCCGAGUAGUCCCUGUCUCUUAACA